CCCAACUUGUUUAAAAUUAAUAUAACUUGUGUACACUUGCCUGAUUGCAAUUUAUUUUCCAAAAUAGAUUUUACUGCUCAAGACAUAGAAUGACUAACAACAACCACAAUUUGUAUGUUAUCAGUAUGCAAUCAUCUCAGUGAUCUGUUAUGAAACAUACCAUGUAAUAGAUACUGGACCACCACACCGUCACCACACAGCUAGAUUUGAUCUGUGAGACUCUAGAAAACUGAACUUGGAUCAGUGGAUAAAGAUACGGGGGAAACACUCUCGCUACCCUGAGUUACCAAGUAAUACAUUAUCUGGCAUUGCCUGCUUACCUGAGACAGCACUGUGAAUUGGAGAGAACACCAGCUUUGGAAUCACACAGGUCCAAGUUUAAAUCCUGACUUCAUCAUUUCCUGGUAUGUGAUUGUAAAUACUUAUUUACAAAAUUGAGUUAUCUAAUCUAUAAAACACGAUCAAUUAUACCCA
This 474-nucleotide long non-coding RNA is filed under the name Rhinopithecus bieti (black snub-nosed monkey). RNAcentral describes it as "lncRNA (ENSRBIG00000045187.1)". Lineage: Eukaryota; Metazoa; Chordata; Mammalia; Primates; Cercopithecidae. The record is from RNAcentral.